AGAAGAAAUAAUAAAAAAAAAAAUCAUCUGGACCUUUUCCCCAGUCUUCAAAAGUUUGGGUGAGUCUGUGUCCAUGAUAGCCUCAGAGUCCUGUUCUUGGCUGAAAGGAGUGGAACCCAGUGUAGUCGUCUGCUGUUGUAGCUCAUCCACCUCAAGGUUCAAUUUUUUGUGCCUGCUGAGAUGCUUUCCUGCUCACCAUAGUUGUAGAGUGAUUGAGUUACUAUUUCUUUCCUGGCAGCUAGAACCAAUCUUUCCAUUUUUUAAGCCAGUGACAUCCACAGAACUGUCACUCACUUGAUGAUUUUUUGUUGUUGUUGUUCAAACCAGCCCAUCUGGUACCAACAACCAUGCCACAGUUAAAGUCACAGAGAUCACCAGUUUUUCUUCAUUCUGGUAUACAAUGUGAACCUUGACCAGUAUCUGCAUGUUUUUGUGCAUAGCACUGCUGCCACAUGAUUGGCUGAUUAGAUAACUGCAUGAAUGUGCAGGUGUACAGGUGUUACUAAUAAUGGACAGUGAGUGUACGUUUACAUUUUGUACCUAGCUCUUGAACUUUUUGCAGUGAUACCAUCUUCACAUGCAUGAACAACAUUUUCCAAGACCACUUACGGAACAAAACUCCUUGCAGUCUGGUAUUUUUGAAGCUCCUUUUUUGUCCUCGACCAACCCAGUUCAGCUCAGAACCGACAGUGAAAGACAAGACUGCGUGCAUCAGGCGUCUAACUGCAUCAUCCACGGUUGCACCACCCAUCCGAGACAGGUGAGACACCUGUAGUUACAGACAAUGCAUGCAAUGUGGUACAUAAACUAUGCACCAAAAUUUUUAGUGACAGGAAGGAUAUGAGGGGUAAAUAUGUAUGACAUAACAUAAAAACUCAUGCCAAACAUUUUUCAAUUAUACAACUACCAUGGGUUUAAAAUGCAAUGCCACAUAAAUAACCAAUAUUUUUUAUUAGGUUUUACCAUUCUCUUCUGCGCUUCAUCGUUCUCCAAAUAUCUCUCUGUUUCAUCAAGCUGUUCCAUUGUCUGUAGUGGUAGAUCUAUAUCCAGAGUUUCAACAUCCUCCUCACACAUGUGUCCUUGAAUCAUUGCUUGCAGGUCUUUCAGCACAGUCCACUGCCUCUGUUGUUCUUCUUUUAUUUCCAGCAGGAGUGAUAUGAUUUUUUUUUGAGCUGCAGUUUCUGGUGAGGACGAGGAGGAUGUGGAUGUGUUGGUCAUCAACUUUUUUUCCUCCACUAGCUCUUCGUUAUAAGACUCCGGCAGGGAACCUGCGAUGAAGUGUGGUUCAGUCCGCCGCGCUAAAUCCUCCAAACGUUUCGAGUCUUCUCGUCUGGAUAUUUCAGCAGACAGAUGGUUCAUUUCCUGGGACACAGCGGAGAGUCUCUGCUGAAGUGUAUCCAGUGCCAUGUCUGCCAUGUGUUUGUUCACCAGUCCCUCCAC
Ictalurus punctatus (channel catfish) is the source of this 1440-nucleotide long non-coding RNA. Lineage: Eukaryota; Metazoa; Chordata; Actinopteri; Siluriformes; Ictaluridae. The record is from Ensembl.